CCUACGGGUGGCAGCAGUGGGGAAUUUUGCACAAUGGGCGGAAGCCUGAUGCAGCGACGCCGCGUGAGGGAUGACGGCCUUCGGGUUGUAAACCUCUUUCAGUAUCGACGAAGCCUCUUUUGGGGUGACGGUAGGUACAGAAGAAGCACCGGCCAACUACGUGCCAGCAGCCGCGGUAAUACGUAGGGUGCGAGCGUUGUCCGGAAUUAUUGGGCGUAAAGGGCUCGUAGGCGGUUUGUUGCGUCGGAAGUGAAAGCCCGGGGCUUAAUGUCGGGUUGGCUUUCGAUACGGGCAGGCUAGAGGUAGGCAGGGGAGAAUGGAAUUCCAGGUGUAACGGUGGAAUGUGCAGAUAUCUGGAGGAACACCGGUGGCGAAGGCGGUUCUCUGGGCCUUACCUGACGCUGAGGAGCGAAAGCGUGGGUAGCGAACAGGAUUAGAUA
This 440-nucleotide ribosomal RNA is filed under the name uncultured bacterium. RNAcentral describes it as "bacterial SSU rRNA". It matches the Rfam family "Bacterial small subunit ribosomal RNA", at positions 338 to 784 of the family's 1533-position model. The record is from RNAcentral.